Molecule: long non-coding RNA, 221 nt
Filed under: Mustela putorius furo (domestic ferret)
Lineage: Eukaryota; Metazoa; Chordata; Mammalia; Carnivora; Mustelidae
Description: lncRNA (ENSMPUG00000029357.1)
Source: RNAcentral
AGAGGAGUAACUUGCCUAGUAACACAGCUGUGCAAUCUCUCGGCUGGAUCCACAACGAGUUUGCCCCGGUGCCUCGUCUUGUUCUCUCCACUGCCAUGCCCUCCUGCCACCCUUCUCAGUCUCCUGAGACAUCCAGCGCACCCUGGUUUCCUCCAUGAUGAACUUGCAUGAUACAUGUGGAAUGUCAUCAUCACAGUGCUGGUCAAACAAACGGAAAUGGU